GAUGAACGCUGGCGGCGUGCCUAAUACAUGCAAGUCGAGCGAACAGACGAGGAGCUUGCUCCUUUGACGUUAGCGGCGGACGGGUGAGUAACACGUGGGUAACCUACCUAUAAGACUGGGAUAACUUCGGGAAACCGGAGCUAAUACCGGAUAAUAUUUCGAACCGCAUGGUUCGAUAGUGAAAGAUGGCUUUGCUAUCACUUAUAGAUGGACCUGCGCCGUAUUAGCUAGUUGGUAAGGUAACGGCUUACCAAGGCAACGAUACGUAGCCGACCUGAGAGGGUGAUCGGCCACACUGGAACUGAGACACGGUCCAGACUCCUACGGGAGGCAGCAGUAGGGAAUCUUCCGCAAUGGGCGAAAGCCUGACGGAGCAACGCCGCGUGAGUGAUGAAGGUCUUCGGAUCGUAAAACUCUGUUAUUAGGGAAGAACAAACGUGUAAGUAACUGUGCACGUCUUGACGGUACCUAAUCAGAAAGCCACGGCUAACUACGUGCCAGCAGCCGCGGUAAUACGUAGGUGGCAAGCGUUAUCCGGAAUUAUUGGGCGUAAAGCACGCGUAGGCGGUUUUUUAAGUCUGAUGUGAAAGCCCACGGCUCAACCGUGGAGGGUCAUUGGAAACUGGAAAACUUGAGUGCAGAAGAGGAAAGUGGAAUUCCAUGUGUAGCGGUGAAAUGCGCAGAGAUAUGGAGGAACACCAGUGGCGAAGGCGACUUUCUGGUCUGUAACUGACGCUGAUGUGCGAAAGCGUGGGGAUCAAACAGGAUUAGAUACCCUGGUAGUCCACGCCGUAAACGAUGAGUGCUAAGUGUUAGGGGGUUUCCGCCCCUUAGUGCUGCAGCUAACGCAUUAAGCACUCCGCCUGGGGAGUACGACCGCAAGGUUGGAACUCAAAGGAAUUGACGGGGACCCGCACAAGCGGUGGAGCAUGUGGUUUAAUUCGAAGCAACGCGAAGAACCUUACCAAAUCUUGACAUCCUUUGACCCUUCUAGAGAUAGAAGUUUCCCUUUCGGGGGACAAAGUGACAGGUGGUGCAUGGUUGUCGUCAGCUCGUGUCGUGAGAUGUUGGGUUAAGUCCCGCAACGAGCGCAACCCUUAAGCUUAGUUGCCAUCAUUAAGUUGGGCACUCUAAGUUGACUGCCGGUGACAAACCGGAGGAAGGUGGGGAUGACGUCAAAUCAUCAUGCCCCUUAUGAUUUGGGCUACACACGUGCUACAAUGGACAAUACAAAGGGCAGCGAAACCGCGAGGUCAAGCAAAUCCCAUAAAGUUGUUCUCAGUUCGGAUUGUAGUCUGCAACUCGACUACAUGAAGCUGGAAUCGCUAGUAAUCGUAGAUCAGCAUGCUACGGUGAAUACGUUCCCGGGUCU
This 1372-nucleotide ribosomal RNA is filed under the name uncultured bacterium. Its description in RNAcentral is "bacterial SSU rRNA". It matches the Rfam family "Bacterial small subunit ribosomal RNA", at positions 28 to 1381 of the family's 1533-position model. The record is from RNAcentral.